Molecule: ribosomal RNA, 492 nt
Filed under: uncultured bacterium
Lineage: Bacteria
Description: partial 16S ribosomal RNA
Rfam family: Bacterial small subunit ribosomal RNA
Source: RNAcentral
AGUGAACGCUGGCGGUAGGCCUAACACAUGCAAGUCGAACGGCAGCACAGUAAGAGCUUGCUCUUACGGGUGGCGAGUGGCGGACGGGUGACGAAUACAUCGGAAUCUACUUUUUCGUGGGGGAUAACGUAGGGAAACUUACGCUAAUACCGCAUACGACCUACGGGUGAAAGCAGGGGAUCUUCGGACCUUGCGCGAUUGAAUGAGCCGAUGUCGGAUUAGCUAGUUGGCGGGGUAAAGGCCCACCAAGGCGACGAUCCGUAGCUGGUCUGAGAGGAUGAUCAGCCACACUGGAACUGAGACACGGUCCAGACUCCUACGGGAGGCAGCAGUGGGGAAUAUUGGACAAUGGGCGCAAGCCUGAUCCAGCCAUACCGCGUGGGUGAAGAAGGCCUUCGGGUUGUAAAGCCCUUUUGUUGGGAAAGAAAAGCAGCAGGUUAAUACCCCGCUGUUCUGACGGUACCCAAAGAAUAAGCACCGGCUAACUUCGUG